GGUCUAGCCCUUUCCAGCAAGGCCACCUGCAUCAGUGACAUUAAGAGGUUGCAUUUCUGCUCAUCUAGAAUUGCAAGGAGCAUGCAUGGUAAUAAAUGCUGAAAUGGUCUGGGGAGAGAGCUGAUAGCAGGAAAGCAGUGUCACCUCUGCCUGGGCACGAGGAUGUGAGACAGGUAAGAUGCCAAAUUCCCCGCUUGCAGCUCUGUGACGGAGGGUUUGAGGUCUACGCUCUGGGGACAGGCUCUCUCAGUGUUCUUUGGAGCAGAGGUUUGCGUGGUCUCAGGUUGCCCUCUGAAUUCUUCACCUCUACAUGAAGUGAAGAAUCUGUUGGCAGGUUUUGCAAUCCUUCUGCACAGGAGGACAACAGGACACAGGAAGCAACUUGAGCCGAGACACUUCGUACAGUGCUUUACAUUUUGACUUCACGAUCAUACUAUUUAUCACAGCUCCAUGAUGAAGCCAAUAAAGGUUAAUUUAUGGUGCAAUAAGUAUUGCAGAUACACACUGUGGACUGUGGUCAUGAACUGAUGGAUGGGCAUGGCUGGGUGGUUUUCAAUCCUGGGCCAAGGCAUUCCUGUAGAGGUCUAUUAUAUAUACGUGUUAUCAAUUCAGUGAGGUUUUCAGUUGGUCUGUGGCAGCUCUGAUCUCUGGGUGGCUGAUUCUGCUCUCUAAUUUGACUUGCACUGGUGUAGAUCUGGAACGACUGGCUUGGUUUCCUGACGGUGCAAGUUUUGGAAGUGUCAUUGAAGUCGAUGACAGCUCCGUGGAGAGGGUAAAUUCAUGUAGCUGAUUGACUCGAGAGGACUUACGCUGCUUUAGCCAUCUGAAAAUCUGGUUUAGUGAGACUGCUUUGUGUUAGUGCUGGCGUGCCGAGGCCAGAAUCUGGCCAGGUCAGAAAUUGGAGCAUGUGGAGGGUGCUAAAGGAGGGAUGAUCUUUAUUUUGUGGGUCCAUACUUUGAAGCCGAGGGGUUUUGUUUGGUUUUGUUCGUUUGUUGUUUUUUAACUGUCAUCUGAGGGGUUUUGUUUGUUUGUUUGCUUUGUUUUUACUGUCAUUUUUGCAAAUCAAUAAGUUCCUGGCUUGAAGAUGGGCUGUAUGUAUAUGACCAUGUAAAUACAUAUUAUAUGACCAUAUAUAUAUUAUAUGACUAUAUAUUUUAUAUGAUCAUAAAUGUGUCAUUACUUGAUUCACAUGUAUUAAUUCAGUGGAUAGAAGUGAAUUUAAAGAACUUUAUUUGAAAGAGUGCAGUAAUUUAUUAGACA
Molecule: long non-coding RNA, 1260 nt
Organism: Cygnus olor (mute swan)
Lineage: Eukaryota; Metazoa; Chordata; Aves; Anseriformes; Anatidae
Exons: 3
Source: RefSeq, a predicted model, not a curated record